This 484-nucleotide ribosomal RNA is filed under the name uncultured bacterium. RNAcentral's name for it is "partial 16S ribosomal RNA". It matches the Rfam family "Bacterial small subunit ribosomal RNA", at positions 30 to 507 of the family's 1533-position model. The record is from RNAcentral.
AUUGAACGCUGGCGGCAGGCCUAACACAUGCAAGUCGAGCGGAUGAAGGGAGCUUGCUCCUGGAUUCAGCGGCGGACGGGUGAGUAAUGCCUAGGAAUCUGCCUGGUAGUGGGGGAUAACGUCCGGAAACGGGCGCUAAUACCGCAUACGUCCUGAGGGAGAAAGUGGGGGAUCUUCGGACCUCACGCUAUCAGAUGAGCCUAGGUCGGAUUAGCUAGUUGGUGGGGUAAAGGCCUACCAAGGCGACGAUCCGUAACUGGUCUGAGAGGAUGAUCAGUCACACUGAAACUGAGACACGGUCCAGACUCCUACGGGAGGCAGCAGUGGGGAAUAUUGGACAAUGGGCGAAAGCCUGAUCCAGCCAUGCCGCGUGUGUGAAGAGGGUCUUCGGAUUGUAAAGCACUUUAAGUUGGGAGGAAGGGCAGUAAGUUAAUACCUUGCUGUUUUGACGUUACCAACAGAAUAAGCACCGGCUAACUUCGUG